This 73-nucleotide transfer RNA is filed under the name Canis lupus familiaris (dog). It matches the Rfam family "tRNA". Rfam says of the family: Transfer RNA (tRNA) molecules are approximately 80 nucleotides in length. Their secondary structure includes four short double-helical elements and three loops (D, anti-codon, and T loops). Lineage: Eukaryota; Metazoa; Chordata; Mammalia; Carnivora; Canidae. The record is from Rfam by way of RNAcentral. RNAcentral also lists the same sequence under 1 other name.
GCCUAGCUGGCUCAAUCAGUAGAGUACAUGACUCUUGAUCUUGAGGUUGUGAGUUCAAGUCCCAUGUUGUGCA